UGGGGAAUUUUGCGCAAUGGGGGAAACCCUGACGCAGCAACGCCGCGUGAGUGAUGAAGGCCUUCGGGUCGUAAGGCUCUGUCAGAGGGGAAGAAAUGCAGGGGCGCUAAUAUCGUUCUUGUUUGACGGUACCCUCAAAGGAAGCACCGGCUAACUCCGUGCCAGCAGCCGCGGUAAUACGGAGGGUGCGAGCGUUGUUCGGAAUUAUUGGGCGUAAAGCGCGUGUAGGCGGUUUGAUAAGUCUGAUGUGAAAGCCCCGGGCUCAACCUGGGAAGUGCAUUGGAAACUGGCAGACUUGAAUACGGGAGAGGGUAGUGGAAUUCCUAGUGUAGGAGUGAAAUCCGUAGAUAUUAGGAGGAACACCGGUGGCGAAGGCGGCUACCUGGACCGAUAUUGACGCUGAGACGCGAAAGCGUGGGGAGCAAACA
Molecule: ribosomal RNA, 428 nt
Filed under: uncultured bacterium
Lineage: Bacteria
Description: bacterial SSU rRNA
Rfam family: Bacterial small subunit ribosomal RNA
Source: RNAcentral